UUGACUACGCGCACCAUUUGAUUGGUCCCCAUCGGGCAGCUUUGCUGGCCGCAGGGGAACCCCAAACCCCCUUUUGCAUUAGCAUCAAACCUCUAAAAACAAACCUAAUUAUUUACAACUUUCAACAAUGGAUCUCUUGGUUCUGGCAUCGAUGAAGAACGCAGCGAAAUGCGAUAAGUAGUGUGAAUUGCAGAAUCAGGAAUCAUCGAAUCUUUGAACGCACAUUGCGCCCCUUGGAAUUCCAUGGGGCAUGCCUGUCCGAGCGUCAUUUACAACCUCAAGCUCUGCUUGGUGUUGGGCGUCUGUCCCCGCUCCCCGCGCGGACUCGCCCCAAAGGCAUUGGCAGCGGUCUUGCCAGCUUCUCGCGCAGCACAUUGCGCUUCUCGAGGCUUUUGGCGGAUCGGCGUCCAUCAAGUCACACCCACAGUUUGACCUCGGAUCAGGUAGGGAUACCCGCUGAACUUAAGCAU
RNAcentral lists this ribosomal RNA (470 nucleotides) under Hirsutella sp. Its description in RNAcentral is "eukaryotic LSU rRNA". The stretch from base 117 to 268 matches the Rfam family "5.8S ribosomal RNA". The record is from RNAcentral. Lineage: Eukaryota; Fungi; Ascomycota; Sordariomycetes; Hypocreales; Ophiocordycipitaceae.